GACGAACGCUGGCGGCGUGCUUAACACAUGCAAGUCGAACGGAAAGGCCCUGCUUUUGUGGGGUGCUCGAGUGGCGAACGGGUGAGUAACACGUGAGUAACCUGCCCUUGACUUUGGGAUAACUUCAGGAAACUGGGGCUAAUACCGGAUAGGAGCUCCUGCUGCAUGGUGGGGGUUGGAAAGUUUCGGCGGUUGGGGAUGGACUCGCGGCUUAUCAGCUUGUUGGUGGGGUAGUGGCUUACCAAGGCUUUGACGGGUAGCCGGCCUGAGAGGGUGACCGGCCACAUGGGGACGACGAUUCGGCCCGGCACCUACGGGAGGCAGCAGUGGGGAAUAUUGCACAAUGGGCGGAAGCCUGAUGCAGCAACGCCGCGUGCGGGAUGACGGCCUUCGGGUUGUAAACCGCUUUCGCCUGUGACGAAGCGUGAGUGACGGUAAUGGGUAAAGAAGCACCGGCUAACUACGUG
RNAcentral lists this ribosomal RNA (467 nucleotides) under uncultured bacterium. Its description in RNAcentral is "partial 16S ribosomal RNA". It matches the Rfam family "Bacterial small subunit ribosomal RNA", at positions 28 to 507 of the family's 1533-position model. The record is from RNAcentral.